UCUUCGCGCCAGCGUGCGCCCGCCCCUUCCCGUUCCGGAAGGACGGCAGCUUCCCCAGGCGCUCAGGCUGGGGACCGAGUUGAGGAGGAGGAGAUGGGGGAGGCGGUGCCGCCUUCGCCCCGCCCCGCACGGCGGCGCCGUUGCCGGGCAGCCGCCGCCAUGGGUUCGCUGCGGGGGCGCUGCGCCGAGGUUUUUGAAGCGUGCGAUGAAGGUAACAAAGGCUAUCUGAACAGAGAGGACUUUGAAGUUGCUGUAGUAAUGUUGUUUGGUUAUCAGCUCUCAGAGGUGGAGGUGGAUUCAUUAAUGUCUUCUGUGAGACCAGAAAAUUCAGGUAUAUUAUUUGAAAAGUUUUUAAAUCUCAUGAGUGCAAAGAAAUCUGCACAACUGUAUAGUGAUGAAACAAGAGAAAUAUUCACAGCUUUUGACAUGCAAGAGAGAGGAUUCUUGACUUUUGAAGACUUUAAGAAAACCUUCAAUUCUGUUCUUCCAAAAUUAUCUGAAAGAAUCAUAAUUGAAGCCUUCAGAGAGGUUGAUCAGGAUUCUGAUGGGCGCAUCAGCUUCAAAGAGUUUGAAUGUGCAAUGAAGCACGGACAAGAUGAAGUAUCACCAUUGUACUUCGCCUGAAGAAUGCUCUCUGGUGAAAAGACAAAGUGAAAACUUCAGAUCUCAAGUUAUUUAAAAAUCAAUGAAACUUCAUUUGUUUCAGCCAGCAUUUUAAGAACUUUGACUUUAAGUGUAGCUCUGAAGAACAGCCUUUGAAGCUUUACUGUUGACAAGUUGGGUGUAUUAAUUUAUAUGUGUAUGUGUGCAUAGAAUACUUAAAAUAUUUGAAAACUCUGUUGAUUCCCAGUCACCCUCGUUAGGAAACGCAACUCUGUACUUUUUGGCUUAGAUAGAAAAGAACUGACUCUGAUAUCCAGUUAUUGUGAAAUGUACUCAUUUGAUUUUUCAACAGCCUUUUGUUGGCUGACCAAAAUAUCUCACAUAUGUAGAAACUAAUUAAAAUUAUGGUGGAUAAUGCUUGUUUCUUAGAAAUUAAUAGUAUAUUUGUCUUUCCUUUAUUGUUUCACUUUCAUAUAGUGUUCUUUUUUAUAUUGCAAAUUAUUUUUAAUUUAAGUUUUUAGUUAAUUAGCUACCAGAUUUAAUUCUGAACAAUUGAGAACUGUGUAUAUAUAGUAAAAAAAAAAAAAAAAGAAGAAGAAGAUAAAAUGAACGUGAAUAAUUAGUUAUUUCCUUUUGAACAAUUUUCUAAAUUGAGUUAAGAAUAAAACUUGGUCUGCUUCAUGAACUUCAGUCUGGCAGACUGAAAAUACUAUUCAAGCCUACAGCUGACUUUUAGUGAAGAAUUUGUAUGUAUGUGCUUUAGCAGCAUCAGAGAAUUUUCCAAUUGUUGAGAAGAAGAAAAAGGUAGCAUUUAUCACUGUGGACACAUCUACCUUUCCCUCUCUUUCCUUUCCUUCCUUCUUCCCUCCCUCCCCAUCUCUUUCACUGGGUUACUGCUUAUGGAGAUGUUCUUGCCUCCGGUAACUUUAUAUACACUUAUCCAAGUAGUGCUGUAGUGAGAUAAAUCCUCUUAUUCAAUAUAUUUUAUCAGUGAUCCCUUAUUUUCUAUUGCCUUUGUGUGUUCAUAUGAGUAGUAAUAGAUGAUAGAAAUUUCAUUAUGGGCAUUGAUCUCUGAUCAUUUUUCAUUCUGUUGCUCCAUUUCUGUUUUCUUGCCAAUUGUUAAGUUGCUUGAAUUAGAGAUUCCUUCUGAAUUUGUGCAGAAGCAAUGCCCUCCUCAUGUGAACUUACAGACUGUAGCACACACGUAAUACUACUGUAAAUAACUAAACCAAUAAUAACGAUCAGUAAGAUGAAAAGAGUAUCAUAUCAGUUCUACUGUUGAGUCAAAAGAGAAACGUCUUCCUAACUUUAGUGAGCUAUUCCAAAAUAUAAUGUAUGAGCACAUUUUUUAUAAAAUAACUUCUGUGUUUUCUGUUCCAAUUUCAUACAUGUACCUUACUAGACACACAAAAAGUAAAAUCUUCUUUACUUCCAAGGCAGAUAGUACAUAAAUAAUAGAAUGAAAUUGGAGGCACUGAAUAUGUGAGCAGAUAUAGCUGAUUCUGUGUUCAAGAACCAGGUAUCCAUUAGAUGAAAUGAGCUGUAACACAAAUAGCAUGCUAAUCAGUGCAAGAGAAAUGGUGUUACCUUUGAAAGGUGAUGGAAAGACCUACUAAUAGAUAGAUGGUUAGCCUUAGAAAUGGUAUUUCCCAAUAGAUGAAUGUUUUCAUAAGAGAGUCAUCAUCAUAGAUGUUAAUUAGCAAUAUCAUCACAGUCUCUGCUGAGACACAGAAGAUUGAAUUACUGUCCCACAGGGAGAGAUGCUACAGGUCUAGACACAUUCUUGAAAAAAAUGUCUGAUGGGUUGCUGUGCUAUUACUUACACCACAUUUUUUUGGUCAAUGUACUUCAGUCUACUGACUCAGGUGUCCGGUCGUUACACCUGUCCCAAACACUAAUUCCAUGCAGUAUUAUUUUAUUUAUUUCAAACUAUUUAUUAAGGAGCAACUGAUGUGAAGUUUCUAUCUUACAGAAAUCUCAUUUUCAGUACUAGCUUCCAUUUAGCCAUUAAAAAGUCUAUGAUGUCUUGUUAGUAUUUCUAACCUGACUGUGGUUUUCUGUCUAAAUAUCUGACAAUAUCUGCACUUUAUAGACUCUGUAGAACAGUAACCUUCUGUUGAAGAUUAUUACAGACGGAAAGGUCUCUAUGCUUUUCCUUCUAAGAAAUAUAUAUCUUGUAUUUGUAGCAAGGAACUUCAGAGAGGAAAGUGCCCUCUAUUUGCUUUACUUCUAUACACUCUCAUUCCUUGUUUUCUCAGAGACUUUAAAAGUAUGAACUUGAAUUAUUGAGAAUAGAAAAUCCAGGGGAAGCCAGUGAAAUUAUUUUACCAUGUUGCAAAGGUUUGUUGUUGUUGUUUUUUAAACAUGAUUUUUUAGAGAAGUUCUGUUCUUAAGCAUUCUUGUUUCCCCUCCCAUGAGGACUUGUGGAAAGAAAUUGUAGAUGACCACAGCUGAGUGGAACUGAGUAGGCUCAGGUGAUGCAGUCCCUGCUCUGCAGCUGAAUAAAAGCUAAUUACUAGCUAACUUUUAUCAGAGUUUGAUUAGCAAACUGCAGAAAACUUCAGCUAUCAUUGCAAAUUAAUAAAAUUAGGAAUGACAUUUUGUGGGGUGGGUGAAAUGGGAGAUUAUUCUCACUAAUGAUUUGGGAAACAAAAACAGCAGCUACCCAAGGACUAGAUGAAAGAUGCUUUUCAUUUUUGUGUAUGUUCUGUUGCUGAUGUAACAGCUUCCUUUUUGGUCAACAGGAAAGGAGUGGCAGAGCUGUGAUCAACAUAGCUCACCAGCUGUAAUACUAGGGUUCCUUAAAAGGGAAUAUACACUCACCAACAGGUUACAUUCUUACUUGUAAUACUUCCUAGCAACAAUAAUAGGAGCUCAGGAGGAAAAAAAAAAAAGUUUGAUGACAACCAUCUUUGGCAGAAUCUUGGGAGCCAAAAUGGGUCUGAACCCCAACAAAUGGAAGGCUGAACAUAAGAGCAAGUAAUUACUGAUACGUCCUGUGUAACAGCACAGAGAGACUGUAUCUUCCUGCUGUAAAUGAGCAACUUCAAAUUCCUCCCCACUUCCUUUUCAAUUUACUUUGCAACAGCAUGAAUUUAGUUUAACAAAAUUUAGACUUCCGUUAAUGAAGUUGUUAUACACAAAAAAGAGAGCUUACCAUCUUUAAGCAGUCUUGCUGACUAGCAGAAGUGCUGAUGGGGACUUAGAAAGGGCACUGUUUUGAACAACAGAACUGGAACAGGACCAGAAGCAAAUGAAGCCAAGACUGCAGUGCUCUGUCAGACUGACCACAGCAUGCUUGAAUAUACAUGCUCUGAAAAGUGGUAAUUGGGCAUUUAUCAAUACAUUUGAUUGCAAACACUGCCUGAAGAUGGAGAUCCUUCAGCAAGAGUCCCAAGAACUGUGAGUAUUGUGGACGACUUGAUUUUUGCAGAACAACUGAAUAGUAAGCUGGGAUUGUUCAAAGAGGAAUGAAAACUGAGGAAGAAUGCAAUAACAAUGUUCAAGUGAACACAGGAAUUGCAGAUAUUAACACUGUUCUUCCCAUCCACUGGAAGUACAAAAACUAACAUGAUAGAACUAUAGCAAGUGAGGUUUACUUUAAAGCAGAAAAAACUCUUCAGUAAUCAGAGAGUGACUGUCAGGGAUCUGUUGUCUGAAGCUGUGGUCAAAUGCCCAUAAAGAGGCGGUGUCUAAGAGCAGGCUGAAUAUAUACCUGCAAGGAUGAGCUUAGGUAUAGUCAGGGCAGCUAUGGGGCAGGGAGACAAGACAGCAACCUCUGAGACCUGUUUGGCCCCUGUGCAGUUCUCUGUAUCCUAGGUGAAGACUUUUUCUCUCGUGCAUCUAUACCACCAUCUGUGCAUAUCUUCUCAUUCAACUGAGCCACGUCCUUAGCAGCUCUUCCUGAUGAUCUGUGGUUGAGAUGAGAAAAUGGUGAGGCAUUAUAUAUUUGCAGUUUUAAAAUGAAUUUUAAAAAAUUUGCUUGCUUACCUGAUAUCUUCCAUUUUAAACAUGGAUGAUUGUAAUUCCUAAUGGGAGCAAAAUUGAUAAGGGAGGUGACCAGAAGCUUAUUAUUAAUUUGCAGCUUUUAUCUUUGGGAAAUCAACAUUCUGGCAAAGAAUUUAAUUGGGCUUUUUUGUUAAUUCUCACAGUGAUGCUUUGUUUUUUCCUUUUGGGACUGCAGAGAAAAAACAGCAUCUGGUGUUUGAGGAUGCUGGGGAUUUACACCAUAUUAUGUGUAAUAUCUCUACUGUAAAUAAACAAAAUGAAUAAUUAAGUGAAUAACGAGGUGUCCUGAAUUAUGACUUCUCUGGCUGCAUCUAUGGAAAAUCAAAGGUAUGUUUGUUCUUCUGUAGUUUUGUGCUUUGGAGGGCAUCUUGGUCUUGUCAUUGCCCAUAUGGAUAUUAGCAAUAUAUCUUUUCAAGCAGAAGCCUGAAAUAAUAUUGAUGAAAGCUGCUUGGUAAAAUGGAGGAAUUUUUGCUCUUCAGUGUAGCGUCUGUCUGAGUUAUAAACUGUAAAACAGAAGAAUAUUAGAAACUGUGUCAUAACCCUGAGGGCCUUACUGCUUCUGCCCAGCCUCUCCUGACCUGCUCACGGCUCAGGACCCCGCUCAGCCCAGGGCCAUUGGCUGCUGCCUCAGUGAGGCCCCAGCAGGACUGGGCUCCAGCUCCACACAGCUCAGCCCAGUCAGCCACGGGCCCUGCCAAACCAGGCCUAACAGUGGCCAUGGCUUAGCCUGGCCCCCGUCUCUUGGCUCCUGUCUCCCUACAGAAAGCCUUUGUGGUCUGUGAGCUGCUGGCCCAUGCUGCCUUGUUGGAUUGGAUGGUUAUAGUUUUUUGUUUUCUUUUUUCUUUUUGAAUAUAAAAAGAAUGUAUAUGAUUUACGUUGGAGGUGUUGUAGAGUCUGUCCUGAUACAGAUACUGGUGACGUAGUGGAUGUAGGUGCCACCGUCCGUACUUAAUGAGAAGGCCAGCACUCAAACAGAAGUCUCCAUGAUGGGGCAGGAGGAGCCCCCCCUCCUGUGGAUGACUGUUGCAUUGGCUUCAUGAAGACUGCAGUGGGCAAGGUGCUGCAGGAACACAUUCCGUCCCCCAGCCGUCCUUCUGUGGGGACGGCACUGGGGACAGCUGACACUGGGGCCACUUGAAGCUGUGGCUGGAAUUAAUUUUAUCUCAAUGCCAGAUUUCCACCUUGAGCACAGCUGCGUAUAAGUAGAAGGCAAAGUGAUUUUUAUGCGUAUGUGAUAUGAUAAUUAAACUUAGCAUUUUCUCCGCAUUUGCUAUUCAGCACUGUAAAAGGAAGCUAAAUGAAUUGCCAAGGAGAUGUAGUGAAAAUUAAUGAUGGGGAUAGGACUCAGAAGGGCUGUUGACAUCUGGGCUCAAUGUUCUGCAGAAUAUCUAGUCAAUGGUUAAAAUCUGGUAAUCACCUUAGGUGAGCAUCCUUGGCUUUCUUCUGAUAAACCCCCCUGGCAUGUAGCUGAAUUUUGUGUCUUUCCUUCCAGGCCGGUCCUCUGCAGGAUCAUUAAGAUUUGAUGCAAUGACAGUUCUUUAUUUUAAAAAGGGGCUUUCUGAUGUCCGCUGCAGAACACCAUCUUAUAGAUCAACUUAUAUUACCAGAAACACGGCAAGAAAUCCUUAGACAUCACAACUAUACAAAACAUGAUUUGUCCAAUGUUAAACCACCAGCAAAGGACAAACUAUUUUUAGAGCUGUCAUAUGGUACCGCACCUGAGCUUUAUUUGUCUUCUGAUUAAAAGAAGUUUUCCUUCAGAAAAGUUCACUUGAAUCUUAUACUCAUUUAGUAAGUCUUACGUUCCAAUUCAAUUUAUUUUAAAGCAGAUUCUUUGGGGAAAAUUAUAAAGCUAAUUUGAAUUGAUUCUUUGGAGAUUCAGGUUUAAAUGAAGUGCCAUAAAAUUGGCAGUCAAAGGGAAAAAAUAGAAUUGGAUGUUAUACUUGUAUUACUCAAUGGACACGAGCGCCUUGCUUUUUGCUACUGCUGAGGGUUUUGAUGUCGUGUUUUUCAGACAGUUUAUAAACACAUAAGAAUUAAAGUUCACACCGUGUUCCUCAUUCAUGUGUAUUAUAUCACAUUAUAAACUUUUGGCUGCCAAGAUCAUAAAGUUAGUCAUUCACUGUUUCCGUUUUUUCAUAAUAAAUUCUAUAAACUCUCAAUGGUAUUAAUGCUAAUUUUGGGGAAGUGAAACAAAGUCCUGUAUUUGUUACGUGUUGAGAGGAUGGUACAUCAGAGUAAUACUUCUCACUAGCAAUAUCGUCCUUCUCCAUUUUCAAAUGUACAGGGUAGCAUUUGGUAAAAAUACUGAGCUGUUUUGGGUGUCGAGCAGUUUAGAAAUGUCUGAAGUUUGGGUGGCAAACGUGCGGCUUUUUCUGAAGCCAGUGUCUUUUUGAGGCCUUAUGAUCUUGUAUUACCAAGCACCUGGUUUCUCACUGACAAAUGAGUCAAAAUUUGUUCUUACAGGCUUUCUGGAAACAGGUUAAAUCCGAUUUCUUGUUUUGUUUUUGUUUUCCAUAAAGCCUGUAGAUACACCUUAAAAAUAGGGCUUUUUUCUUAGCAGAACUCAUGUUUUUCUGUUACUAUUUGAUGCAUUCAUAGCUUGGGAAAUUCACAGAAAUAAUGGCCAAGGAGCUGGUUGUUCAAUUUCCUCUCACAAAAAUUACUGGGUAGAUGUUCAUUACUCCAUCCCAGCACUGUGCUUCCAACCUAAUCAGAAGCAGAAGUGAGGAUAUGAAAAGACGUGCUAGAGAAAGCUCCAGUGCACUCCAUUAUGCAUUCUGCACACAUGGUCCUAUAUUAGAAAUGGCUGGUAUUUUGUUUGA
Non-coding RNA from Phasianus colchicus (ring-necked pheasant), 7436 nucleotides. The record is from RefSeq and is a predicted model, not a curated record. NCBI's taxonomy places the organism in Eukaryota, Metazoa, Chordata, Aves, Galliformes, Phasianidae.